UACGAAGGGGACUAGCGUUGUUCGGAAUUACUGGGCGUAAAGCGCACGUAGGCGGAUUUGUUAGUCAGGGGUGAAAUCCCGGGGCUCAACCUCGGAACUGCCUUUGAUACUGCGGGUCUUGAGUCCGAUAGAGGUGGGUGGAAUUCCUAGUGUAGAGGUGAAAUUCGUAGAUAUUCGCAAGAACACCAGUGGCGAAGGCGGCUCACUGGCCCGGUACUGACGCUGAGGUGCGAAAGCGUGGGGAGCAAACAGG
RNAcentral lists this ribosomal RNA (253 nucleotides) under uncultured bacterium. RNAcentral describes it as "partial 16S ribosomal RNA". It matches the Rfam family "Bacterial small subunit ribosomal RNA", at positions 524 to 776 of the family's 1533-position model. The record is from RNAcentral.